RNAcentral lists this microRNA (22 nucleotides) under Marchantia polymorpha subsp. ruderalis. The record is from RNAcentral. Lineage: Eukaryota; Viridiplantae; Streptophyta; Marchantiopsida; Marchantiales; Marchantiaceae.
CCUGAACACUUACCUAAACGAG